AUUUAGAAAGUCAUAUGGUAACUGAUGGUAUCAGCACAUCAAGAGAACUACCCAAGUGAACAUGAAAGUUAGAGAGCAGACACAUAAUGAAAAAUCUAAAUUAUGAAACCUAAAAGAAGAAUGGAAGGAAACAUGAAAUGUAGAGAAUGAAGAAUUUAACAGUCACAAAGACCACUAUACAGACCAGGUAGAACCUAACAGCUGACAAAGGAGUCUGGAAAGUGUAAUUUUCAUAGACUCCACACCAGCAUCACAGAAAAAUGUAUGGAAUGAAGAGCUUGGAGCUGAGAGCUGUGUUGCAUGGUAUUUUGUACAAUG
Long non-coding RNA from Neofelis nebulosa (Clouded leopard), 318 nucleotides. RefSeq lists it as uncharacterized. The record is from RefSeq and is a predicted model, not a curated record. The transcript has 2 exons. Lineage: Eukaryota; Metazoa; Chordata; Mammalia; Carnivora; Felidae.